RNAcentral lists this small nucleolar RNA (68 nucleotides) under Euglena gracilis. Its description in RNAcentral is "Eg-p38.2 AGAUGN box pseudouridylation-guide". The record is from RNAcentral. Lineage: Eukaryota; Euglenozoa; Euglenophyceae; Euglenales; Euglenaceae.
CCGGCACUCCAGAACUGGCAUCUGACCCCUCUUGAUGGGCCGCGGUGUAUGAUCCGGUGCCCAGACAC